Molecule: long non-coding RNA, 499 nt
Filed under: Daphnia magna
Lineage: Eukaryota; Metazoa; Arthropoda; Branchiopoda; Diplostraca; Daphniidae
Description: uncharacterized LOC116935861, transcript variant X1
Source: RNAcentral
GAUCAGCAUUGUAUAGUUAAUGAAUGACAACUUGACGAGAUCUUGACACGCACGUUGGAAGUGUACGCGUGUUUGCACCUCGAUGAGCGUUGCACAAUAACAAAGCUCCGUUGGUGAGCGUAUUGAUUAAUAAAGCUAGGUGAAGUCCUUGAGUGCCUCAAGAAGGAAUCGCCGAGCAUCGUCAUACAGUAUUUUUUCCUUCAACAAUUAAUCUUGCAUCUCCAACCGUGGAAUGAGUUACAUGUGACUCGAGACAAACAAACAGUGCAAUUGCAACAAUAUAAUUAGUCAGCGGUAUGGUCACUAUCAGCAGCUUUACACACAGUGUGCAUCGUGAAUACACCAAUCCCAGAGAAAACAUUCCAAUGGAAAAUAUUGAGAAUUUCUGCCCUUCUAUCCUGAACUACACAAUGCUGGUUUGCAUAAAUAGGCAUAAAAAAACAUAUCAACAGUAUUUUUAGUUUGCAGUUUGCUUUAACAUACAACUCUAUGGCAUGUU